Molecule: long non-coding RNA, 1648 nt
Filed under: Marmota monax (woodchuck)
Lineage: Eukaryota; Metazoa; Chordata; Mammalia; Rodentia; Sciuridae
Source: RNAcentral
CCUGGAAUGACCUUUCCCCAGGCACUGCACUGUAUGCUAUUGUAGCACUUAACAAAGAUUGGCAAUUAUUUGCUCGUAUGGCUAGACUAUGGCCUCUCAAGGACAAUGAUAAAGGAUUAAUCAUUUUUAUAUUCCUAGCAACUAAUGCAGUGUAUGACAUAUAAGAUAUGCUCAAUAAAACAGGAAAGAGUGGUUACAAAGCUGCUGAGGAUAGAUAUUUUGUUCAAUUUUAUUUCCUUUUACUAGCAAUCUCUGUUGCAGGGAUUGCAUACAUAAUAGCCAUGGGCUUAUGAUAAUAAAAGAAUAAAUAACAGAUCCCUUAACUGUACAUGAAUGAUAAAGUAUCUAUCAGUCUUUCCCAGGAAUUGUAAAACACAAGAUCUGGGUGUGGCACCUUAUGUGCUCUGUCAUAAUACUAAAUAUAUUAUAGCACUAUGCAAACAAGUGAAUUGCUCAACAUGGAAAUCCCAGAAUUAACAUUGACUCAAGGAGCAGGACAUGUGACUUAGAGAAAUUUUGCAAGCAUGAGAACAAACUACUUGCCACUUAGAAGGUGCUAAUUCAUUUUCUAUUUAAAAUUUUCUAAAAGAAAGAAUAAUUCCAAGCCCACCUCUCCAAUCCAUUGCUUUCUAUUGGGAAAUAAAAACGCUACAUUUUUUUUUUUCACAUGGUCAACUUCAAAUCAUUUCUCCUCCACCCCGUUGUAAAGAAUGUCCCCAUCCGGAGCCAGUUCCUUGAGCAGUGCUAGCCCUGGCCUGCGGCUUGUCGUUAGCUGGCGACCUCCCUUCACCACUGCUCUUGAUUCACUGACAGCAUUGGCACCCUCGUGGCCUUCCUUUCCACAGCAUCCACCCAUUCCUCAGAAUGACGUCAUACCCACGUCUGACUCUCUGAGCACAUUUCCUCGUCUUACUCAUUUCCAGUGACCUCCUCUACUCCAGCCGCUCAUUCUGACACACCCUGGCACUUGUCCUGGCCUGGAAUCGCUCCAACUCUGAAAAUGCGUUUCAGACAUCAGACUCUUUGAGCAUCACCCUUAACCGUUACUCUCAGUCUGUCAUCCCCCAGUCUGCUGUUCCUCAGUGUCCCCAUGGAGACCUGUAAUUCAUGGAGUCCUCACUUACUCUUUUCCUCUGUGGUUGUCUUCAUUCCUUCUCCUGAUGGAUAGCCAUGACCUGUCUCUUCUCCCUCCUUAUUGCCAAUGUCCUUCACUCUCUUGUCUUCUUGUUCCUCGUUCUACCUGCCUGACAAAAUACCAAAGCUGGACGAACCAAACCUACUCUUUUCUUCUUAAACCACCUGCUGGAGAAAGCAGGACGAGCAAAUGCAUAUGAACCCAUCUCAGCUGAACACUCACUGCCUGUGCUUCUUCAUCAGCUCUGUUGUACCCUCCACCCACCUGACUCCCACCCUUCUCAAGUCUCCGCCCCCGCCCCCCAACCUUUCCCUGACCCUCCAUGGUAGAUUUUCCUCUUUCAUUAACACAUGUAGGGCCAGCAUUGGCCCUCUUCACAAACCCUCUUCAGGGUUCCCUUUGUUGACUGGGCAUGGUGAAUGCAUGCCUGUAAUCCUAACAGCUGGGGAGGCUGAGGCAAGAGGAUGACAUAUUCAAGGCCAGCAUCAGAAACUUAGUGAGGCCCUGAGCAAC